CACGCGGCGGCGGGUCCCUGCUCGCUGACUGCCUGUGUGCGCCCAGCUACUCAAACUGCAACAAAGAAACCACCGCGGUAGUCAUUCCGCUACGUUGUUUAGUUGCGUGUCAUUUUUUUUAAAUAGACAUGUUUUAACACUGUACCGAUGACAUUGUCGCCAUUGGAACCGAAACCACGUUUUUUUUUUGCCAAGACGAACUGACUUUAAAGAGCGUGUAGGAGGGUUAUCGCUCAUCGCAAGUUGAGGUCCCCGACGGAGACCCUUAAGACCCCAGGGUGCCCCCUUGACCCUCGACCCCGGGGCUGGACCCACGCUGAGGGGCGAAGAGAUGUUACCAUGUCCACACUGAGCCCCAGGUGAGUCCAUUUUACCGCUCUAAAGUGAAUUAUAAAGACACCACUCUUUAAGACUCUUUUUGGGCUCCUGGUCAAUUUAAACCACGUCAUUGAAAUGUAUUGAAUUUAAUUAAUUUCAGGCGAACAUUCAAUACAUUUGGUCCACCCCCAGCGUCUGUGGCUCCGUCUGUUCUGUCUCUCUCCCUGCCUGCCGCUUGUGUGUUGCUCAGUUGUCUUCCUAAUUAUACCCCUAUCCGUGUCUUGGGCCCACCUCGUGUUUCCUCGUGCUGUGACCUGAGCUGCGCCGCCGUGAAAUACCGUCCAGGUGACGCAACGCUGGUCCUCAACUACAACCAGCGUCCUCAUCGGGGCUCAUGCAACAUUCACACUGUCCUGUCAAACACACACGUGCGCACACACACUCACGCACACACACAUUAGUCGGAACUGUCAUUUUAACGCUGGUUAAAUCAAGAUUUCAAGGCGUUACGUCUUACAGUGUCUGUGGAUCAGGGCAGUGGCAUUUCAGUUGCUCCCGUAAGGACUAAACCUAAUCCUCGGCUUUUGUGGCAAUAAAAAGUUUGACAUAUUAAAACCUGAACCAGAUAAACUAUUGGCUAUCAGCAAAACUGAGUGCGGUACUUGAAAUGUCACAGCUUUUACAAAACAGAUAAGCCAUGGUGGAUCAGACUCAACUGUCUCGAUACAAUCUCGUAGAUUCUGUUAAAUCUAUAGCAAGUUUCCACAUCAAGCUGGUACCUAAAUUCCCGAAACAGGAAUUAGGUAAAGUACUGAGCUCUUACUGAGCUGAUAUUGACCUGAAUGUAUGUAGUCUCAAUGUAUGUAUUUUCCCAGAAUGCUGUGGGAUUGUUUAUAUAGCUAGAUAUAUCUGUUUGGCCUAUUGGUGACCAUUAACAAGGAAUUUAAAUAAAAAGAUUGGACAUUGAGUUCUGCGAGUACAUGCCCUAAUCUGUAUGCCGUCAGAGGUUGACAUUCAACAUUUAUAAGACGGAAAACUUCCAGCUGAUGAGAUGUAGUACUGCCUCCCCCACUGUGUGAAUUGUUAAAACGUUGAAGCAUGACUAGGAUAGGGGGACGGGUCAAAACAACUGACAGGUCUCAAACCAAAUAACCCUGUGUCGGCAUAGCCUACCCUGGUCCCCAUGGCUCUAGUUGGGGGUUGGAGUAGGGACCACCAGUGCAGACCCACCCAGCGAUGGGUUUUGUCCCCUGGAUGCUGCUCAGAGUCUAUACGUCUAGCAGGAGAGGUGCACGUUAACGAUACGCCUUGACAUUAUUUUCGGCAGCGCUCCCAAAGGUAUUGAUGGUCUGAUUGAAUUCUAUAAAAAGUGUGUUCUGCCAGAUGCCCCUCUGGCCCGUCGACUGUAAUAGUGUGACAUUUAGACGAUUUAAGAAUCAUAAACGAUGCUUUGUUGUCCUGACAGUCGGCAAUCCGUCUUUCUGUGUGUGUGUGUGUGUGUGUGUGUGUGUGUGUGUGUGUGUGUGUGUGUGUGUGUGUGUGUGUGUUAAUUAAUGAUUUAGGGUCUCAGAGGGAAUUGGGGGGGGUGAAGCCCCCGGCGUGUGGCAACAAGGGGUCGGGGUUGUCAGAUGGGGGCCAGCAGCUGGGGGAGGAGGAGCAGGAGUAGGGGGAGGUGUAGAGGCAGGGGGAGCCGAGGGGAGGGGGUCGGCACUGAGGACGGAGCGGCAUCGAGGACGUGAGUGGGACAGGUCUGGAUGCAGAAGAUCUAUCAUGGAGAAAUUGAUUCCCUAUCUUGGGUAUCCUAAUGGCGAGCUGUUAUCGUUCAGUAUUAUAUAUAGACAUGGGCCAGCUCUUUAUUUUAUGUGCACAGCACAAGGGGGAUGUCUCCAUUGGCUCCGUCUGCCUAUCUACGGUUAUGUUAAAUCUGAGGGAAGGAAAGGUUGUAUACCUGCCUCUCUCUCUGUCUGUCUCCCUUUUAUCCUCUCCCUCUCCUGGGGGUUUCUCCCCAUUCUCCCACCUCUCUUCUUUCUGUCCCAUAAUUCACACGUUGCCCUACAGGGACUGUCCUUCUGUCCUUCACUUCUACACACCUCUCCUCAUUUUUUUUUUUAUCUAUCCAUCCAUUCAGCCCAUCUAGAUGGAUAUCUACACCUCCCUCCCUCCCUCCCUCCCUCCCUCCCUCCCUCUCCCUGGCAGUCCUUUCCCCUAGGGCCACAUACACAGUUGGGGUGCUUUUGUCUUUGACACGUGCUGGCAGAAGGCAAAGCUACACACACACACACACACGCAUGCAUACACAUGCACACGCGCACGAACACACGUGCCACAGUGCUACAGUCAGCUCUUGUGUCUAUUGUUAGUAGGCUGCUCAGCUGCGAGGCCCCUGGCCCUAAUUUUCUCUGUGGAGGUGAGAGGAGGGUCCCCCCUUUGUCCUGCAAAUACCCCCUCCCCAC
Gadus macrocephalus (Pacific cod) is the source of this 2771-nucleotide long non-coding RNA. RefSeq lists it as uncharacterized. The record is from RefSeq and is a predicted model, not a curated record. NCBI's taxonomy places the organism in Eukaryota, Metazoa, Chordata, Actinopteri, Gadiformes, Gadidae. The transcript has 2 exons.